Molecule: long non-coding RNA, 856 nt
Filed under: Homo sapiens (human)
Lineage: Eukaryota; Metazoa; Chordata; Mammalia; Primates; Hominidae
Description: HSALNT0332539
Source: RNAcentral
GAGCCGGCUCCGGCCUCAGCUGGCCCAGAGAGGGGCUCCCUCAGUGCAGUGGCGAGCUGAAGGGCUCCUCAAGGGCGGCUGGAGUGGACGCUGAGGCCGAGGAGACGCCAAGAGCAAACGAGGGCUGCUAGUACAUUGUCACCUCUCACUGGUAACUACAGUUGCUGUCAGUUUAACUAAAGAAUCUGAAAUGCCCCUCUGGAAAGUGAUGUACCCAGCAGACAGAAAAGCAGCCUUCAAAAGCUUCUGUAGGGCUUCGUGUUGCUAUCUAUGGUUCCAUGGUCCUGACUGAUCCUGAGUGUCCUAACCAUGGGUUUUGGGUCCAGAGGACAGCCUGGAGUCCACUGGAGGCUCAUGGUAGGGAGAACCCCCACAAGGAGACUGCACUUCAAAGUCCCUCCUGGAUCCCAUUCAGAUCCAAAACUGAGCACCUGCUCUGUGCCAAGAAAUGCUCUAUGGAAAUGAAUCAGUUCCCACCAUCCAGGAGGUCACAGCCUGCUCAGAUGCAAAAGAACUCCAUGCAGGCUAAGCCUUCUUCCCACCAACAUGGAUUGUGCUGAAAGAUGGCAAAUACUUGUAUGCUGACAGUUUUCUACAGCUUAAGACCCGGUUCUUGAUGGGAGAAAAAUAAACAUCAUCAGCUGCUUCCUUCCUAAUAACCAUACUAUUUUAAGGGAACUUGAGAUUUUGUUUAUAAACUACACUGAUGGUUAUGUAACCAAUGAGAUCUAUAUUUCUGGCACAUUUCCUUUCAUACAGACUCAAUUAAAAUUUUCAGCCCUCAUAGUAAUCUUUACAUUUUGUGGUUUACUUGACAACCUGGUGAACCUUGACAUUUACCUGAAAGUCAGAUAUG